AAUGUCAUUGUCACUGUCCUCAUCACUUGAUGUUCCUUUCAAGUGGUCUUCUUGUGAUUUGAGUGCCAUAUCCUUCCUGUUCUUUGGAAGGGGGUUCUCGAGCUCGUCAUGAGCUUGACAUGUCAUUUCGUAGGUCAUUAGAGACCCAAUGAGUUCUUCAAGAGGGAAUGGUUUAAGGUCUUUGGCCUCUUGAAUGGCCGUAACUUUUGGAUCCCAACUUUUAGGGAGGGAUCUUAAGAUUUUAGUUACUAGUUCAAAGUUAGUAAAAUCUUUACCAAGAACUUUGAGUCCAU
This 293-nucleotide long non-coding RNA is filed under the name Musa acuminata (dwarf banana). RNAcentral's name for it is "long non-coding RNA (MACU_LNC008636)". Lineage: Eukaryota; Viridiplantae; Streptophyta; Magnoliopsida; Zingiberales; Musaceae. The record is from RNAcentral.